This 534-nucleotide long non-coding RNA is filed under the name Prunus persica (peach). RNAcentral describes it as "long non-coding RNA (PPER_LNC000881)". The record is from RNAcentral. Lineage: Eukaryota; Viridiplantae; Streptophyta; Magnoliopsida; Rosales; Rosaceae.
GGAGAUGGGGAGUGAAGAAAAGUUGUCUCUGCUGUUGAAGUUGCUAGUGUUGUUGCUCCUGCCUUGUAUGUCUCUUGCUGGGGACAAUGCCAAUGUUGUUGCUCAUGCCUGUUAUGUCUCUUGUUGGGGACAAUGUUAUUGCUCAUGCCUGUUAUGUCUCUUGUUGGGGACAAUGUUAUUGCUCUUGCUUGUUAUGACUCUCGUUGGUGGCUGCCUGUUAUGUGCUAGUAUUGUUGCUCAUACCUUUACUGGUGUGUUUCCCCUAUGUCUCUUGCUGGGGGCAGUGUUGAUGUGUUUCCCCUAUGUCUCUUGCUGGGGGCAGUGUUGAUUAUUAUUUGAUGAUGCCUAUUAUGUCUCUGCCUUGUUGCUCUUGCUGGUGCCAGUGCCUUGUAUUGCUCCUGUUGGUACCAGUAUAAUUGAUGCCGCCUGUUAUGGUGCCAAUAUUGUUGUUCAUGCCCUUGCUGGUGUAUUUCCCCUGCGGUCAUGCCCAUUGACCUUGCAUGUGCUCUUGACUUUCUUUGCCUUGCCUCACCC